GGAGGAGUGCCCGAGCUGGCUUAAGGGAGCGGUCUUGAAAAUCGCCAGGGUCCUCUGGGCCCUCGUGGGUUCGAAUCCCACCUCCUCCGCCA
Molecule: transfer RNA, 92 nt
Filed under: Bacillota bacterium
Lineage: Bacteria; Bacillati; Bacillota
Also listed under: 1 other name
Description: Firmicutes bacterium (anaerobic digester metagenome) tRNA-Ser
Rfam family: tRNA
About the family: Transfer RNA (tRNA) molecules are approximately 80 nucleotides in length. Their secondary structure includes four short double-helical elements and three loops (D, anti-codon, and T loops). Further hydrogen bonds mediate the characteristic L-shaped molecular structure. tRNAs have two regions of fundamental functional importance: the anti-codon, which is responsible for specific mRNA codon recognition, and the 3' end, to which the tRNAs corresponding amino acid is attached (by aminoacyl-tRNA synthetases). tRNAs cope with the degeneracy of the genetic code in two manners: having more than one tRNA (with a specific anti-codon) for a particular amino acid; and 'wobble' base-pairing, i.e. permitting non-standard base-pairing at the 3rd anti-codon position.
Source: RNAcentral